RNAcentral lists this ribosomal RNA (440 nucleotides) under uncultured bacterium. RNAcentral describes it as "partial 16S ribosomal RNA". It matches the Rfam family "Bacterial small subunit ribosomal RNA", at positions 338 to 795 of the family's 1533-position model. The record is from RNAcentral.
CCUACGGGGUGCAGCAGUAGGGAAUAUUGCUCAAUGGGGGAAACCCUGAAGCAGCAACGCCGCGUGGAGGAUGAAGGUUUUCGGAUUGUAAACUCCUUUUGUUAGAGAAGAUAAUGACGGUAUCUAACGAAUAAGCACCGGCUAACUCCGUGCCAGCAGCCGCGGUAAUACGGCGGGUGCAAGCGUUACUCGGAAUCACUGGGCGUAAAGAGCGCGUAGGCGGGAUAGCAAGUCAGAUGUGAAAUCCUAUGGCUUAACCAUAGAACUGCAUUUGAAACUGUUAUUCUAGAGUAUGGGAGAGGUAGGUGGAAUUCUUGGUGUAGGGGUAAAAUGCGUAGAGAUCAAGAGGAAUACUGAUUGCGAAGGCGACCUGCUAGAACAUAACUGACGCUGAUGCGCGAAAGCGUGGGGAGCAAACAGGAUUAGAUACCCCUGUAGUC